UAAACCGACACAGGUGGGAAGGUAGAGUAUACCCAGGGGCGCGAGAUAACUCUCUCUAAGGAACUCGGCAAAAUGGCCCCGUAACUUCGGGAGAAGGGGUGCCACCGAGAGGUGGUCGCAGUGAAGAGUCCCAGGCGACUGUUUACCAAAAACACAGGUCUCCGCUAAGUCGCAAGACGAUGUAUGGGGGCUGACGCCUGCCCAGUGCCGGAAGGUUAAGGAAGUUGGUCAGGGAGCAAUCCUGAAGCUAGCGACUGAAGCCCCGGUGAACGGCGGCCGUAACUAUAACGGUCCUAAGGUAGCGAAAUUCCUUGUCGGGUAAGUUCCGACCCGCACGAAAGGCGUAACGAUCUGGGAGCUGUCUCGGAGAGAGGCUCGGCGAAAUAGGAAUGUCUGUGAAGAUACGGACUACCUGCACCCGGACAGAAAGACCCUAUGAAGCUUUACUGUAGCUUGGUAUUGGGUUCGGGCUUUGAUUGCGCAGGAUAGGUGGGAGACUAUGAGAUAGCUCUUGUGGGAGUUAUGGAGUCACUGGUGAGAUACCACUCUAUCAAGGCUAGAAUUCUAACUUUGACCCGUUAUCCGGGCAGAGAACAGUAUCAGGUGGGCAGUUUGACUGGGGCGGUCGCCUCCUAAAUGGUAACGGAGGCGCGCAAAGGUUCCCUCAGGCUGGUUGGAAAUCAGCCAUUGAGUGUAAAGGCAUAAGGGAGCUUGACUGCGAGACUGACAAGUCGAGCAGGUACGAAAGUAGGCCUUAGUGAUCCGACGGUUCCGCGUGGAAGGGCCGUCGCUCAACGGAUAAAAGUUACUCUAGGAUAACAGGCUGAUCUCCCCCAAGAGUUCACAUCGACGGGGAGGUUUGGCACCUCGAUGUCGGCUCAUCGCAACCUGGGGCUGUAGUCGGUCCCAAGGGUUGGGCUGUUCGCCCAUUAAAGCGGUACGUGAGCUGGGUUCAGAACGUCGUGAGACAGUUCGGUCCAUAUCCGGUGCAGGCGUAGGAACAUUGAGAGGAGUCUUCCUUAGUACGAGAGGACCGGGAAGAACGCACCGCUGGUGUACCUGUUAUCGUGCCAACGGUAAACGCAGGGUAGCCAAGUGCGUAGAGGAUAACCGCUGAAAGCAUCUAAGUGGGAAGCCCACCUCAAGAUGAGUGUUCCCAUGGCAAAAGCCAGUAAGGUCACGGGUAGACCACCCGUUAAUAGGCGCUAGAUGGAAGUCCAGCAAUGGAUGUAGUCGAGGCGUACUAACAGACCGAGGGCUUGAC
This 1264-nucleotide ribosomal RNA is filed under the name metagenome. Its description in RNAcentral is "bacterial LSU rRNA". It matches the Rfam family "Bacterial large subunit ribosomal RNA", at positions 1649 to 2925 of the family's 2925-position model. The record is from RNAcentral.